AUCCAUCCUCUCUCUCCCCAUCGAGUCGAGUGUGUUUGCAUAUCAUCCGUUGUGAGAGGAGUUCCUUCAUUCAUAAGCUCGCUGAUGGCUUCAAACCAUAUCAAGACGGCCGCGCAUGCCCGAGGGGGCGUCCCCAAAUGUCCAUGCGACAACGUGUCUCGUUGGGCCAUGGAACCUGCAGACAAAAUCACUGGCAUCAGCAUUGGCGCUGCUUCAUGCGUAAACUCCAUUAAGAUAACCUUCGACAUCGACGGAACCACUCGCGUAACUCCCAGAUAUGGAGGCCCCGGCGGUGAACUAUUCCAGUUUAGUCUCAUGCAAGAUGAAUACCUCACCUCCGUUUCUGGGUAUGUCAAACACGACUGUUCUGAAUUUCCAUGUGUAUCUCAACUCACGUUUACCACCAAUCUUGGAAAGACAUACGGUCCAUAUGGAGGUGGGGGUGGAACCUUUUUCGAAGUCAACGUAGAAUAUGACGAGAUUAAGGGCUUCUUUGGUCAUGCAACUGAAGAGUAUCUCACUGCAUUUGGAGUCUACGUGAUGCUGGCUUAGCCAACCCUUGUGGAGGGUGUUGACUAUCUAUCUCUAUCUCUGUGUGCCAUGAUGAAUAAGGAUGCCAAUGUCUGUUGCAGGCAUCUAUGUUUGAGUUGGGUGUGUGUUUGAGUAGUGUGAAAUAAAGUCUAUCUUCAUGCA
Molecule: long non-coding RNA, 693 nt
Organism: Musa acuminata AAA Group (dessert banana)
Lineage: Eukaryota; Viridiplantae; Streptophyta; Magnoliopsida; Zingiberales; Musaceae
Exons: 3
Source: RefSeq, a predicted model, not a curated record